Molecule: ribosomal RNA, 402 nt
Filed under: uncultured bacterium
Lineage: Bacteria
Description: bacterial SSU rRNA
Rfam family: Bacterial small subunit ribosomal RNA
Source: RNAcentral
UAGGGAAUAUUGCUUAAUGGGCGAAAGCCUGAAGCAGCAACGCCGCGUGUGUGAAGAAGGCCUUCGGGUUGUAAAACACUUUUUGAGGGGAUGAGGAAGGACAGUACCCUCAGAAUAAGCCUCGGCUAACUACGUGCCAGCAGCCGCGGUAAAACGUAGGAGGCGAGCGUUAUCCGGAUUUACUGGGCGUAAAGCGCGUGUAGGCGGCCAGAUAAGUCAGAGGUGAAAGCCCGGGGCUCAACCCCGGAAGUGCCUUUGAAACUGUUUGGCUUGAGUGCGGGAGAGGAAAGCGGAAUUCCCAGUGUAGAGGUGAAAUUCGUAGAUAUUGGGAGGAACAUCGGUGGCGAAGGCGGCUUUCUGGACCGACACUGACGCUGAGGCGCGAAAGCGUGGGGAGCAAAC